GUGAUGAUGGUGAGAGACAGACGAGCCUCAGCUAGUCAUCAUUUUAAUCGAUAUGUGAAUUCCAGUCAAUCAGUCCAUCAUCCCUCAUUCUGUAUUCAUCCUUCAUUCAGCCAGUUAGUAUAGAAGUUCCAACUAGUUUGAUAGUCAGUCAUGACCCCCGUCAGUACGAGAAUCCCAGACAGUGUCACAACCCACUCCCGUUAGCCCGACACAUGGCGCCACUAUAAACACUUGCCUGCGCCAUGACGGGUUGGGGCCGAAUACCAUCCAGGCCCCUCAAGCAAGCCUACCGGCGCAAUAGGCGGAGACGUAAAAAAAAAAAGAGAAAAAAAAGUUAGACAGUCAGUCAGUCAGUCAGUCAUGCAAUAUUAUGAACCCUAGAGUCAGUCAGUCACUUAUUCAGUCCGUCUCAUAUAUUCAGUCUUCAGUCAGUCUCUCAGUCCCAAAUUUAUUCAGUCAGUCAGUCGUCACCCUCUCAAUACAGAACCCUAUAGGUCGUCAAUCAUUUAUUCAGUCAGUCAGUCAUUACCCCGUCAGUGCAUGAACCCCAUUCGGUCAUGCAAUCAGUCAGUCAGUCAAUCGGUCAUGCAACCAGUCAGUCAGUCAAUCACCCCCAUCAGUGCAGGAAUCCAGCAGGCUCAGACGCCCCAGAGCAAGUCCACAGGAUCAGGAAUGCCGCCCAACUAGACCAGCCAGCCUCGUCCACACCCUCCACAGAUGUUGGGUACUCACGUGUGACCUUGACGUACUGGAGGUGUGGGAGGCGCCCGGGGCUCUAGCUGGCAAUGGAGCCUUUCAUAACGACGUAGUUCAUGUGGUUCUGUUAGGGAAAGAGAGAUAAGGAGUAGGGGCCAAUUUCACAGUUCCCCAUGAUGGGUUAGUAAGCUCCCAAACCAGUACCAGAGCCUUCGAAAUUUCCUUGUUUAGUGUCUGGUGUUUAUAUUUAAGUUCACAAAUUUGAUGAAACUAUACAGGACAAGUCUUGUGUAUUUAGUGUGGCAUCGAAGACCUCACCAUUUUGGAUUGUAUGGGAUUCUAUAGUUUGGUUCGGGCUGUUACGAAGACACUGUUGGACUGUGAAAUCGGCUCUUAAUGAUGUAAUAGGCGAAAGGAAGAGUGGAUGGGAAUCUUAGUAGCCAUUAGAGUGCAAUUGAAACUUUUAUAUCGGCCACGUAACUCUGUCAGGGAAAAAGUUUAUUAGGGUGGAGAAGAGGUCGUGAGAAAGAGGGAAAGUAUAGAGACUACUUUGUUAUAUUUUACUGAUGUGAGAGAAGUCCGCAGCUUUCGGUAGAUAUAAUUAAGUCUCUCAUAACUGCCUCGCCCAUGUAGCUGUCAGUGAGAGAUUGGGUUCUUAAUAAGUUGACAGGAUGAGGGGAAGUGUAAGCAGUUUCCAGAUCCCAUGAUACGCAAAGAAAGGGAUCGAAUGUUUUUUCUUUCUACUCAAUACUUUAGUAACAUUUUUUAUAUAUAUUGUGUUGUCUCAGGGAAAAUAAAGGAGGUAAUGUAUACUUCCCAGGCGCUUCCUAUUCACAGCUUUAUUUAUAUUGUGCUGUUCAAGAAGUUAUGGGAAGGGGAGAGAUAAAGAGAGAGAGUGUACUUUCCUAACUUUUCCCAUUCCCAUACUUGUUGAUAUUGUGCUGUUCAAGAAGUUAUGGGAAGGGGAGAGAUAAAGAGAGAGAGUGUACUUUCCUAACUUUUCCCAUUCCCUCAUUUGUUGAUAUUGUGCUGUUCAAGAAGUUAUGGGAAGGGGAGAGGUAAAGAGAGAGUGUCUUCUCAUUCCCACACUUGUUGAUAUUGUGCUGUUCAAGAAGUUAUAGGAAGGGGAGAGGUAAAGAGAGAGGGUCUUCCCAUUCCCACACUUGUUGAUAUUGUGCUGUUCAAGAAGUUAUAGGAAGGGGAGAGGUAAAGAGAGAGGGUCUUCUCAUUCCCACACUUGUUGAUAUUGUGCUGUUCAAGAAGUUAUAGGAAGGGGAGAGGUAAAGAGAGAGGGUCUUCUCAUUCCCACACUUGUUGAUAUUGUGCUGUUCAAGAAGUUAUAGGAAGGGGAGAGGUAAAGAGAGAGGGUCUUCUCAUUCCCACACUUGUUGAUAUUGUGCUGUUCAAGAAGUUAUAGGAAGGGGAGAGGUAAAGAGAGAGGGUCUUCUCAUUCCCACACUUGUUGAUAUUGUGCUGUUCAAGAAGUUAUAGGAAGGGGAGAGGUAAAGAGAGAGGGUCUUCCCAUUCCCACACUUGUUGAUAUUGUGCUGUUCAAGAAGUUACAGGAAGGGGAGAGGUAAAGAGAGAGAGAGAGAGUGUACUUUCCUAACUUUUCCCAUUCCCUCACUUGUUGAUAUUGUGCUGUUCAAGAUGUUAUAGGAAGGGGAGAGGACGAGAGGUAAAGAGAGAGGGUGUACUUUCCUAACUCUUCCCAUUUCCGCACUUGUUGAUAUUGUGGUGUUUCAGAGAUGUAGAACGGAAAGAUGAAAGGAAAGCGUGUAUAUUAUCCUAUAAACACAAACACGAAAACUAAGAUUGAUUCCCAAACUACUUCCACCACCACCACCGCUACUACUACUACUACGACCACUACUACUAUUACAACUACUACUAUUACUACUUUCCGAUAGACAGAAACAACACUAAGUCACUUUACGAAGAUCUUCAGCACACAGGUAGACAAGACGACAGGUAGACAGGUAGAUAGUAGUUAAGGUAAGGUUAGGUUGGACUUCCCUUGAAUAAUCAAGCUACUUACGCCACACCUCUCUUUUUUUUUUGUUAUUUCACGUUUUGUUAUUGCAGGCCAAAGCCACCAAUGUUUGAAGGUUAUCUGGCCGGCUGUUCGUAUUUAUUUACCGUGAAAGUGUUUGAUGGUGUCCUCAGCGACCAUAUAAGGCUCUGGCGUGAGUGUGCUGUGAAGGGCACCGGAUGACCGACGGCUGGCGGCAGGGAGGAGGGGAAAAAGAGGGAGAUAGAGAAUGAGGAUGAAAAGUGGGUUAACAGAGGAAGCGAGGAUGUGGAAUAUUGAAGGAAAAAAAAGAAAGUUCCGUUUAGUCGGCGCAACAUCUGUGGUCAUAUGCCGGAGAGAGACAGAAGGGGAAGGAAUUAUAGGAGAAGGAAACAGACCUCAGGAGACGGGACACAACCCCCGAUUAAUACCUGGUACCCAUUCACUGCUGGGUGGACAGGGGCGUAGGGUAUCGGAAAAGCCGCCCAAAUUUUUACACUCCGCCCGGGAAGCGAACCAGGGCUCUCUCGAUUGUGAGCCGAGAGUGCUAACCACCGCACCACGAAGCCCCCCAUGGUGAAGGAAAGGGGAGAUGAAGGAAAGGAAUGAAGGGAGGAAGGAAAGGAAAGGAAAUGGGGAGCACGGUAAAAGUAAAUUUGGGGUCAUACGCUAUAGCCGCUCGUGGCCUGUGGUGGGUAAGAACCGUAAGAUCCCACGACCCCGGGACGCAGGGCAAGUGUGACAUCCAGGUUACCACAGAUUUUUCUUUUUUUUUCUUUUUAAUCAAGGGUAAAGUACGAAGAGGAUGUGGGUUAGUGGUGAAGGUGCAGAUGGGGAAUAGGAAAACAGCAGGAGUGUACAGUUGUAUGGUGUAGGUUCGUUAGUUGUUCUGGUGUACCACAGAUUAAAUUGCUUAGGUCUCUCUAGGAAGUCAUUUAUUGACCAGCCCGGAAGGAAAAAUGGACAACUGGGUGAGCUGCGCGCCAACUGGUCAGGAUUCGAACCCAAGCCCAAGAGUGUGCUAUUUAGAAAAGGAAAUAGUGAGAUAGGAAUUGCAGGGAAGAACACACACACACACACACACACACAUCAUUUGAGAGAGAGAGAGAGAGAGAGAGAGAGAGAGAGAGAGAGAGAGAGAGAGAGAGAGACUCCACACAUUCCCGCACACCACCAAGAACACCACAAGCCAACCCGCACAGCAUACCUCCACAUCGUCGCUGUCUUUCCCGCGUCGUCAUCCGCCAUACAGUCACGUCUCCUGAACUAUUUUUUUAUCCCUUCUAAGCCUCUCAACCAUCACCGAUAAAUAAAACAUGUAUAAAAUGAGCACAGCGUAUCCUACCCGCCUUGUUUUCACAUCGACAUAACUCGUUUCUCUUCGCCAUCGAUGAAAUGAAAUCUAUAAACAAACAAACACAUAGCGCACUGCAUAUCUUCGAGGAGUCAAGGUCGUCGCCGUAGAGUAGAAACUUGACAUACUUUCAAGAGCCGCCGCUGCUGGUUCCUGCGGGCGCUUUCCCAUCCCCUACGGAGGUGCCUCGUCCCCAGCGUGUUUCUGGCGGCCCGGCUUUUCGCUUCCAAACAUCUGCGCUAUUCUAUUCCCAAGGGGUCGCCAAUGCCUAUAGUCAGACCGUUUCAGAUAGUCCGUUUGUAGGUUCAAUCCCGCGGGUCCUUUCCUCCUCUCUGCUCUGCCACACAGCCCCAACACCUAUCCCUUCCUUUCAUAUGUUAGCUAUAGGUAACAUAUGAUAGGGAAAAAUAAGUGUUGGGGCUGUGUGGCAGAGCAGAGGGGAGGAAAGGACCCGCGGAAUAGAACGCCCAAACGGACUAUUUGAAAUGGUUUGACUAUAAGGGAGAGGACUGAUUGAAUUCUUGCGGGUUUGAGGCGGGCAAUAUCCGAGGAGACCGCCUGAUUUUUGAAACGUCGUAUUAGUCUUCAACAAUGCUGUGGCUGAUUCGUCUUCUUUGACCCGUUUAUCAAGGCGUGGUUAGCUGGUUUUGUUGAUUUAUUAUAUAACUUUUACGACUGAGUUUGUAAUAUGUCGACUUCACCGUGAAGAUCCACCACUUGUAGAUAACUCGAUCCCCAAAAAUGGAGAUAAAAAGUCAAACUAGCCACAUAACUGUUGCACACACACACACACACACACACACACACACACACACACACACACCGAUGCUUUUGUGUACGUAAAAAUAAUGUUAUGUGCACUUCUUCAAACACUGCGAUAGGUAAAUAUGGUGCAAACACGAAAGCACGGAUCCCUUUAUCCUGUGUGACGACUGUUAUGAUCGGUUGUUGGAGGCGAUGACAACGCUUGAUAACGGCAAUGAAGACGACGACGAUGACGAGUAAGAUAAUGAUGACAAGGGAAGUGUUAUUCUCGCGGGUCUCAGGCCAGGGUUGCGGCGCCAAGUCGUUCAUUAUCAGUCGCGACAGAGAAUGUGCACUUUUUGUUUUUGGAUAGUUAAAAGCGUUGCGAAAUAUUAUUGUUGAUGAAUAAUUUGAUUUCGGUUCAUUGUUUUCGUUUUUAUUACCUCUUUAUUUGGUUACUUGUUUUACUCUUUAUAUACUUCUUUUUCUUCUCUUUGUAAUGUAAGAAAAUAAUAUCAUUCAAACGGCACAAAACCCGAAAUGGAGAAAAGGAAACGAAUGCGAGAAUUAAGCUCCUUCUGAACUCACGUGUCUGUGUUCCUCCUGCUGGACACUGCUGCUGCUCCUGCCAGGACACCUGAUUGUGGUUAUCAUAGGUGAUAUAACGAUAUAAAGUAGCAGUUGUAGUAGUAGCAGUUGUAGUAGUAGCAGUAGUAGUAGUUGUAGUAGUAGUAGUAGUAGUAGUAGUAGUGGUAGUAGAGGUAGUAGGCAUGAGGGUGAGGAUAAACUUGAUAAGCUAUCUGUUCAUUUUCGUAACAUGUUGUGUUAGGUUGCUGGUGUGUGGGCGUGAGACAGACCCAAGACGCGCGCGUGUGUGUGUGUGUGUGUGUGUUUAAAGAUUUUGUCCCUCCGCGGAGGGACCAUUGGUCUUUGUCGGGUGACAGUCCAUGAAAAGGGUGCCGACAGAGAGAAUAUCGGCUGACACCGACCGAGUCCGUCUGGCGAUGAGGAUGUGUGUGUGUGUGUGUGUGUGUGUGUGUGUGUGUGUGUGUGUGUGUUCUCAAUUUGUUGCUUUGCGGAGGCAGUUUUAUCUUAUCAGCCACGAUAACCACAAUCUGGUGUCCUGGCAAGAGUGUGGGGUUAGUGUGGGUCACGGGGUAACAUUGUACUAAGCCUUACACAUUGGUAUGUCUACUUUAUAGGCCAAUGGCCCAUUGAUGAGGGUAACAAAAUUACAAUAAAUUCAUUUAAGUGUAUCCUAAAAAUUCGUUUUUAACGAGAGAAAAUGGUGUUUGCAGCGGUGCCUUAGAGUGAUAUUACCCGUGGCAUGAACUCAACCAUGCGUAAACAACGCGUAUACUUGCGGGGUUGAAAGUGUCAUGGUCACCGCCAGACUGGACGAGUUAUAUGACUUCUUCCAUUCUGUUCCUGGAAAAGUAAUUAUAGUUUUAUUAUGUGCUAUGAUACCUGGGCAAGCUUGGGGAAGAUAAAUUGUGGUAACCCGGAUCUCAAACGCCCUGUGUCCUUAGGUUUUGUUUUAUUGCCCACCGCUGGCUCAGUAAAGAGUACUACGGAGAUGAGCACCGAGGUCACGUGAUGGUUAGCGCAUGCCCCAAAUUUACUUUUACCUCUAUGAUAGUGACUUAAAUUUAUCUUAUCUCAUAUCACAAAAAUAUUUUUUCUGUUAUUACUAAAAUUCGAAUAUCAACGUUUGUGAAUUGCGACACACACACACACACACACACACACACACACACACACACACACACACACACACACACACACACACA
Molecule: long non-coding RNA, 6595 nt
Organism: Eriocheir sinensis (Chinese mitten crab)
Lineage: Eukaryota; Metazoa; Arthropoda; Malacostraca; Decapoda; Varunidae
Exons: 5
Source: RefSeq, a predicted model, not a curated record